Molecule: long non-coding RNA, 259 nt
Filed under: Elaeis guineensis (African oil palm)
Lineage: Eukaryota; Viridiplantae; Streptophyta; Magnoliopsida; Arecales; Arecaceae
Description: long non-coding RNA (EGUI_LNC003649)
Source: RNAcentral
GGGUGGCUGGAACUCACCGAACUAGCCUCGACGUGGGUCGGGGAGGCCUAUGGCCAUCGAUCCGAUGGGGUGCCUAUAGAUGUGCACAUGUGCGCCUAUAGAUCCAUCGAUCCAGUGCCUUUCUUCGCCAUUCCUCCUCUCUCCCUCUUUCCUCUUUUUCUUUUCUUCUUUCUUUCUUUCUUUCUCUUUCUUUCUUUUUCUUUCCUUUUUUGGCAUCUCUUGUGAUGGGAUGGGACAUGCUAUUGAGAUCACUGUAUGC